UACAGAGACCUUAAGCGUUAUCCGGAAUCAUUGGGCGUAAAGCGUACCGAUAGGUGGUUUAGAAAGUCAGAAGUGAAAUCUCUCAGCUUAACUGGGAGACUGUCUUUUGAAACUUUUAAACUAGAGGGGCAAAGAGGAAGCUGGAACGAACGGUGUAGUAGUGAAAUGCGUUGAUAUCGUUCGGAACACCAAUAGCGUAGGCAGGCUUCUGGGUGCCACCUGACACUGCUAGGACGAAAGCGUGGGGAGCGAAUGGG
RNAcentral lists this ribosomal RNA (257 nucleotides) under uncultured bacterium. Its description in RNAcentral is "partial 16S ribosomal RNA". It matches the Rfam family "Bacterial small subunit ribosomal RNA", at positions 524 to 776 of the family's 1533-position model. The record is from RNAcentral.